Molecule: long non-coding RNA, 183 nt
Organism: Bufo gargarizans (Asiatic toad)
Lineage: Eukaryota; Metazoa; Chordata; Amphibia; Anura; Bufonidae
Exons: 3
Source: RefSeq, a predicted model, not a curated record
GGGGUCUCUAUAUAGGAUCCAUUAUGAAAGGUGGCGCUGUAGCUGCAGAUGGACGAAUUGAGCCUGGAGAUAUGCUUCUACAGGUUAAUGAUGUCAAUUUUGAGAACAUGAGCAAUGAUGAUGCAGUUAGAGUUUUAAGAGAAAUUGUAUCCAAACCAGGACCAAUUAGCCUCACUGUAGCCA